AUGCGUCAUUCCGGGUCAAUUCAUUAGUACCUCCCAAGUGUUUUUGGAAACCCUCUUUUUUCUUCUUUUAAAAAAAAAAUUAUUUUACAAGCCCUUUAUGUUAUUUAAGGCCAGCUUCUCUUUACGCUCCCCUUUUUCCUUUUUUUUUUUCUAUCUUUCCCUUGCCUUCUCUUAUUUUACUUUACAAACCUUUUCUAUUAUUUAAGGUUACGGUCGAAUCUGAUGAAGGUUGCCUACGUAUCACGGCCUCGCGUGAAUUAGACCAAGCGUAGUUCGUGACACAAAAAGUAAAAGACACAAAAUUUUUGGAAUCAUCCAUUUCAUUACCAAAAUAUGCUAUUACAAGCUACCCAUUUUAAACAAGGAAAAGCAAAAUACAGACUCCAACAUGAUUUGCGGUAAAAGAAACAGACGGGUAGAUAACAGACUUUUAAAGACAACAAGUGCGAAUUUGAACUAGGGAUACAUUAAAGCUUUCAAUUUAGAUACCCGCGAGGCAUCGUUCGGCCUUUCCGCGGGCUUUGGUGCAAGACCCCUUUGUAAGCUUUUCAACUCAUCCAUGAUCCGGUGGACGUAACCCAUGACGGGGGCAAAAAGGGUAUCACGAGGCAUUUCCUCACAUGCUAGGCACCUCAUGUAGAUGUAGUGCCCAUUCUCAUCGAUCCUACCCCUGAUGCUAUCCCUUUCCAUGAACAGUUGCUCUAUUUGCCGAUUCUUUUACCCCAGUACUUGAGCAUUGUCGGCGAGUCGAUCCUGGAACCUUUCCAUUUGUUCUUCCAUUCUGGCGAUUAAAUCAUAAUAGCGCCUUCUGUCUGCUCUGGCAUCUCGGGCUUGUUAAAAGACCCGCUCCUAGAGAGUGGAGUUUGUUUCUCUUAGUAGCUCAAUGGUUACUUUGUAAUCCCUUCUGACUUGCUGUAGAUGCUUUUUCCGCGCCACUGUACCUUUCGCCCAUCUGGCCCACAUUCUUGCUAUGCAAGCCUCUGAUCUUUCUAAGCCCUCUCGGCUUUCGAUGACCUGAUUCCUUAACCCUGCUAUCAAUCUCUCGUCGGACGAGCUUCUUUGUCGGUCAUCGGCAUCCCUUCUGACUUGGCGGAUUUGAGCUUUCAAGACCUUGUUUUCUUGAGUCAACCUGUUUUUCUCCCCUGUAUCGGUGCCAGUUUGCAAGCUGCUUUCAUAUUUCAGCCCCCCAAGCUGCUGAUUUAGCUUGCCAAUUUCGACCCGAUAUCCCUUUUCUUGAGAAUGACG
Molecule: long non-coding RNA, 1245 nt
Filed under: Nicotiana benthamiana
Lineage: Eukaryota; Viridiplantae; Streptophyta; Magnoliopsida; Solanales; Solanaceae
Description: long non-coding RNA (NBEN_LNC015294)
Source: RNAcentral